Molecule: long non-coding RNA, 760 nt
Organism: Ornithorhynchus anatinus (platypus)
Lineage: Eukaryota; Metazoa; Chordata; Mammalia; Monotremata; Ornithorhynchidae
Exons: 14
Source: RefSeq, a predicted model, not a curated record
CCGAAAACGGCCGAAAACAGCCGAAGGGCGGGGCCGCUUCAGUGCGGCUGCGCAGUGACGUCAAGGGAGGCUAUAAAAACAGGUGGCCGAGCGCCAUCUCGUUCUUUCGGAGUCGCCUGCAGCCUUUGUCUUCCAUCUGGGUACAAGCUGGGAUGAAGUGACACGUCCAGUGGUAUCAACCAUCAGAUCUUAGGUCCAGAGAAAUGGAGGGGACAUCACUCUUUAGCAAGACCACUUCAAAGAAGUGCUCCUUGGUCACCGUGGCCAAAGAUCAGGGAGUGGGGUGACACCACCUAAAUAAAAGGAGUGGAAAGCAUUCUUGAAGAGACUGCUCUGUCGUAACUUCAUUUGGGGCAUUUCUGCUGUCAACUGGGAAAUGGAUCUCAUCAAAGGCAAUAACUGGCACUUGGAUACAUCUAGCAGUGGUGAACUUGGAUGCUAACUGAAUAUCAGAACAGCAUGUGCCAUUGUGAGUCUCCUCAGAGCUUGAGUCAGAAGCGUGGAAAUUCCAGCAAGUGACUUUAAAAGUGAAGAGGCUUAUGCCCACUGAAGCAGGAGCCCCUAACCAGCUAGCAUUCAAAGGAUGAAGACUUUCAGGACUUUUUAAGCAUCAGUUUAAAGGGAUGUGCCCUGGACAUUCACAAUCAGGGUUUGUGCAGUUUGGAAUCAUGGGGACAGCUAAAGGUCAGUCUGGACUUCCCCUGAAACUAUUCCACAUUCACUGUACAUUUUCAAACUACAAUAAAGAAUGAUUCAAAGA